This 393-nucleotide ribosomal RNA is filed under the name uncultured bacterium. Its description in RNAcentral is "bacterial SSU rRNA". It matches the Rfam family "Bacterial small subunit ribosomal RNA", at positions 356 to 772 of the family's 1533-position model. The record is from RNAcentral.
GGGGAAUUUUGCACAAUGGGCGGAAGCCUGAUGCAGCGACGCCGCGUGGAGGAAGACGGCCUACGGGUUGUAAACCCCUUUUGCCAAGCCGUUCACAGCUUGGAGAAUAAGCCUCCACUAACUACGUGCCAGAAGUCUCGGUAAUACGUAGGAGGCAAGCAUUAUCCGGAUUUAUUGGGCGUAAAGUGUGCGUAGGUUUUCUUUCAAGUCUUUGUUGAAAGCUCAGGGCUCAACCCUGAAUUUGGCAGAGAUACUGGGAGAAUAGAGGAUUGGUAGGGAUGCUGGAACAGUAGGUGUAGCAGUGAAAUGCGUUGAUAUCUACUGGAACACCAAAGGCGAAGGCAGGCAUCUGGGCUCUUCCUGACACUGAGGCACGAAAGCCAGGGUAGCGAA